Molecule: ribosomal RNA, 492 nt
Filed under: uncultured bacterium
Lineage: Bacteria
Description: partial 16S ribosomal RNA
Rfam family: Bacterial small subunit ribosomal RNA
Source: RNAcentral
AGUGAACGCUGGCGGUAGGCCUAACACAUGCAAGUCGAACGGCAGCACAGUAAGAGCUUGCUCUUACGGGUGGCGAGUGGCGGACGGGUGAGGAAUACAUCGGAAUCUACUUUUUCGUGGGGGAUAACGUAGGGAAACUUACGCUAAUACCGCAUACGACCUACGGGUGAAAGCAGGGGAUCUUCGGACCUUGCGCGAUUGAAUGAGCCGAUGUCGGAUUAGCUAGUUGGCGGGGUAAAGGCCCACCAAGGCGACGAUCCGUAGCUGGUCUGAGAGGAGGCUAAGCCACACUGGAACUGAGGCACGAUCCGGAAUACUACGAGAGGCACACGUGGGGAAUAUUGGAGAAUGGGAGCAAGCGUGAACAAGCCAUACCGCGUGAGUGAAGAAGGCAUUAGGGUUGUAAAGCCCUUUUGUUGGGAAAGAAUAGAAGGAGGUUAAACCCGCGAUGUUAAGACGGUACCCAAAGAAUAAGCACCGGCUAAAUUCGGU